GAGACAGCAGUAGCCGCGGGAAUACGUAGGGAGCGAGCGUUGUUCGGAUUUACUGGGCGUAAAGGGCGCGUAGGCGGCGCGGUAAGUCACUUGUGAAAUCUCUGAGCUUAACUCAGAACGGCCAAGUGAUACUGCUGUGCUAGAGUGCGGAAGAGGCAACCGGAAUUCUUGGUGUAGCGGUGAAAUGCGUAGAUAUCAAGAGGAACACCUGAGGCGAAGGCGGGUUGCUGGGCCGACACUGACGCUGAUGCGCGAAAGCCAGGGGAGCAAACGGGAUUAGAGACCCCCGUAGUCCCUGUCUCUUAUAC
RNAcentral lists this ribosomal RNA (308 nucleotides) under uncultured bacterium. RNAcentral describes it as "partial 16S ribosomal RNA". It matches the Rfam family "Bacterial small subunit ribosomal RNA", at positions 505 to 807 of the family's 1533-position model. The record is from RNAcentral.